UCUCCGUUGGUGAACCAGCGGAGGGAUCAUUACAGAGUUGCAAAACUCCCAUACCAUUGUGAACGUUACCUAUCCCGUUGCUUCGGCGGGCGGCCCGGGCCCCGCGCCCGGCGCCCCCCGGCCCCCCGUGGGCGCCCGCCGGAGGUAAACCAAACCCUUGAAUUGCAUGGCCUCUCUGAGUCUUCUGUACUGAAUAAGUCAAAACUUUCAACAACGGAUCUCUUGGUUCUG
Molecule: unclassified non-coding RNA, 231 nt
Filed under: plant metagenome
Description: partial contains small subunit ribosomal RNA, internal transcribed spacer 1, and 5.8S ribosomal RNA
Source: RNAcentral